This 99-nucleotide ribosomal RNA is filed under the name Salpingoeca rosetta. The record is from RNAcentral. Lineage: Eukaryota; Choanoflagellata; Craspedida; Salpingoecidae.
GGCAACGUUCAUACCAACGGGAUCGCGGAAGCUAAGCCCGUUUGGGCCCGUUCAGUACUGCCGUGGGUGACCAGGCGGGAAUCACGGGUGAUGUUGCUC